This 19-nucleotide non-coding RNA is filed under the name Arabidopsis thaliana (thale cress). The record is from RNAcentral. RNAcentral also lists the same sequence under 2 other names. Lineage: Eukaryota; Viridiplantae; Streptophyta; Magnoliopsida; Brassicales; Brassicaceae.
CCUGGUUGAUCCUGCCAGU